RNAcentral lists this ribosomal RNA (465 nucleotides) under uncultured bacterium. RNAcentral's name for it is "partial 16S ribosomal RNA". It matches the Rfam family "Bacterial small subunit ribosomal RNA", at positions 28 to 507 of the family's 1533-position model. The record is from RNAcentral.
GACGAACGCUGGCGGCGUGCUUAACACAUGCAAGUCGAACGGAAAGGCCCUGCUUGCAGGGUACUCGAGUGGCGAACGGGUGAGUAACACGUGGGUGAUCUGCCCUGCACUUCGGGAUAAGCCUGGGAAACUGGGUCUAAUACCGGAUAGGAGCCAUUUUUAGUGUGAUGGUUGGAAAGUUUUUUCGGUGUAGGAUGAGCUCGCGGCCUAUCAGCUUGUUGGUGGGGUAAUGGCCUACCAAGGCGGCGACGGGUAGCUGGCCUGAGAGGGUGGACGGCCACAUUGGGACUGAGAUACGGCCCAGACUCCUACGGGAGGCAGCAGUGGGGAAGAUUGCACAAUGGGCGCAAGCCUGAUGCAGCGACGCCGCGUGGGGGAUGACGGCCUUCGGGUUGUAAACUCCUUUCGCUAGGGACGAAGCUUUUUGUGACGGUACCUAGAUAAGAAGCACCGGCUAACUACGUG